UUAGUUAGCAUUGUGAAAUGGAUUCGAAUCGUGAGUUGUCAUAACUGGAAAAAAAUUGCUAUUAGUUAUUGUUAGGUUAGUUGGAAAAUUAUGAGUGUUAAUAUGUUAGACUAAUAUAGUGGGAAAAUUGAAUGUUAAUUAUCAGUUAGCAAUGGAAUUUGAUGAAUGUUAAUAGUGGACUUAGUUUUGGUUAAGUUCGUGAUGCAAAUGUUUAUUGGGAAUUGGAAAUGUUAAGUUGCUUGUUAUUAUUAGUUUUGAUUAUUUGGAAAAUUGGUUGGUGGUAAUAAUG
RNAcentral lists this long non-coding RNA (289 nucleotides) under Lathyrus oleraceus (garden pea). RNAcentral describes it as "Pisum sativum (pea) long non-coding RNA (PSAT_LNC018503)". Lineage: Eukaryota; Viridiplantae; Streptophyta; Magnoliopsida; Fabales; Fabaceae. The record is from RNAcentral.